AACGUAGGAGACGAACGUUAUCCGGAGUUACUGGGCGUAAAGGGCGUGUAGGCGGUAUGUUAAGUCUGGCGUGAAAGCUCUCGGCUAAACCGGGAGAGGUCGUUGGAUACUGGCACACUAGAGGAUGGUAGAGGCGUGUGGAAUUCCGGGAGUAGUGGUGAAAUGCGUAGAGAUCCGGAGGAACACCAGUGGCGAAGGCGACACGCUGGGCCAUACCUGACGCUAAAGCGCGACAGCAUGGGGAGCAAACGGG
RNAcentral lists this ribosomal RNA (253 nucleotides) under uncultured bacterium. RNAcentral's name for it is "partial 16S ribosomal RNA". It matches the Rfam family "Bacterial small subunit ribosomal RNA", at positions 524 to 776 of the family's 1533-position model. The record is from RNAcentral.